RNAcentral lists this ribosomal RNA (771 nucleotides) under Lactiplantibacillus plantarum. Its description in RNAcentral is "bacterial SSU rRNA". It matches the Rfam family "Bacterial small subunit ribosomal RNA", at positions 136 to 904 of the family's 1533-position model. Lineage: Bacteria; Bacillati; Bacillota; Bacilli; Lactobacillales; Lactobacillaceae. The record is from RNAcentral.
GCGGGGGAUAACACCCGGAAAAGAUGCUAAUACCGCAUAACAACUUGGACCGCAUGGUCCGAGUUUGAAAGAUGGCUUCGGCUAUCACUUCUUGGAUGGUCCCGCGGCGUAUUAGCUAGAUGGUGGGGUAACGGCUCACCAUGGCAAUGAUACGUAGCCGACCUGAGAGGGUAAUCGGCCACAUUGGGACUGAGACACGGCCCAAACUCCUACGGGAGGCAGCAGUAGGGAAUCUUCCACAAUGGACGAAAGUCUGAUGGAGCAACGCCGCGUGAGUGAAGAAGGGUUUCGGCUCGUAAAACUCUGUUGUUAAAGAAGAACAUAUCUGAGAGUAACUGUUCAGGUAUUGACGGUAUUUAACCAGAAAGCCACGGCUAACUACGUGCCAGCAGCCGCGGUAAUACGUAGGUGGCAAGCGUUGUCCGGAUUUAUUGGGCGUAAAGCGAGCGCAGGCGGUUUUUUAAGUCUGAUGUGAAAGCCUUCGGCUCAACCGAAGAAGUGCAUCGGAAACUGGGAAACUUGAGUGCAGAAGAGGACAGUGGAACUCCAUGUGUAGCGGUGAAAUGCGUAGAUAUAUGGAAGAACACCAGUGGCGAAAGCGGCUGUCUGGUCUGUAACUGACGCUGAGGCUCGAAAGUAUGGGUAGCAACAGGAUUAGAUACCCUGGUAGUCCAUACCGUAACGAUGAAUGCUAGUGUUGGAGGGUUUCGCCCUUCAGUGCUGCAGCUACGCAUAGCAUCCGCCUGGGAGUACGCCGCAGCUGAAACUCAA